UUGUGGAGGAGGACGCCGAAGGUGGGGCUAAUGACUGGGGUGAAGUCGUAACAAGGUAGCCGUACCGGAAGGUGCGGCUGGAUCACCUCCUAACAGGGAGACAACAAAAUGUUUAAUAUUAUUAUUUUGUCACCUUAGGUCGAUCGGUAUCUCACGUUUUUAAUUUAUUAAGAAUUUCAUUUCCUAAGUUUUUCUAGGUCACACCCAUUAUUUUUCCUGGGCCAUUAGCUCAGGUGGUUAGAGCGCACCCCUGAUAAGGGUGAGGUCCCUGGUUCAAGUCCAGGAUGGCCCAUAUCUCUAUGUUGGGGGUAUAGCUCAGUUGGUAGAGCGCCUGCUUUGCAAGCAGGAUGUCAGCGGUUCGAGUCCGCUUACCUCCACUGAUCACCACCUCUUCCAUAAUCGGUAGAAAGGAAAUUUUUUGAGUUGUGAUCAAAUUCUGAAAGAAUCUAGCUUCCUAAUGAAAUCAUUAAGAUGCUGGACUCAUUGAAUUAAUUUCAUUGUUUUCAGAGAACCUUGACAACUGCAUAGAUUAUUUUUAAAGACAAUAAGCAUCUUUAAUGAUGCAGAUUUAUUAUUUGUGCAAAUGCAUUAAUAACAAUUCUAUUAAGCUGAUGCUUCAAUUUUUGAAGUUAUUGGUCAAGCUACAA
RNAcentral lists this unclassified non-coding RNA (647 nucleotides) under uncultured Prochlorococcus sp. RNAcentral describes it as "partial 16S-23S ribosomal RNA intergenic spacer; may also contain 16S ribosomal RNA and 23S ribosomal RNA". The stretch from base 305 to 377 matches the Rfam family "tRNA". The record is from RNAcentral. Lineage: Bacteria; Bacillati; Cyanobacteriota; Cyanophyceae; Synechococcales; Prochlorococcaceae.